GAUGAACGUUAGCUACAGGCCUAACACAUGCAAGUCGAGGGGAAACGAUAUUGGAAGCUUGCUUCCGAUAGGCGUCGACCGGCGCUCGCGUGAGUAACGCGUAUUCAACCUGCCCACCACUUGGGGAUAACCUUGCGAAAGUAGGACUAAUCCCCAAUGAUAUCCCAAGAAGACAUCUGAACGAGAUUAACGAUUUAUCGGUGCUGGAUGGGGAUGCGCCUGAUUAGCUUGUUGGCGGGGUAACGGCCCACCAAGGCGACGAUCAGUAGGGGUUCUGAGAGGAAGGUCCCCCCCAUUGGAACUGAGACAAGGUACAAACUCCGACGGGAGGCAUCAGUUAGGAAUAUUGAGCAAUGGGCGAGAGCCUGAACCAGCCAAGUAGCGUGCAGGAUGACGGCCCUAUGGGUUGUAAACUGCUUUUAUAAGGGAAUAAAGUGAGCCUCGUGAGGCUUUUUGCAUGUACCUUAUGAAUAAGGACCGGCUAAUUCCGUGCCAGCCGCCGCAGUAA
This 508-nucleotide ribosomal RNA is filed under the name uncultured bacterium. RNAcentral's name for it is "partial 16S ribosomal RNA". It matches the Rfam family "Bacterial small subunit ribosomal RNA", at positions 28 to 523 of the family's 1533-position model. The record is from RNAcentral.